Atopobium minutum 10063974 is the source of this 74-nucleotide transfer RNA. It matches the Rfam family "tRNA". Rfam says of the family: Transfer RNA (tRNA) molecules are approximately 80 nucleotides in length. Their secondary structure includes four short double-helical elements and three loops (D, anti-codon, and T loops). Further hydrogen bonds mediate the characteristic L-shaped molecular structure. tRNAs have two regions of fundamental functional importance: the anti-codon, which is responsible for specific mRNA codon recognition, and the 3' end, to which the tRNAs corresponding amino acid is attached (by aminoacyl-tRNA synthetases). tRNAs cope with the degeneracy of the genetic code in two manners: having more than one tRNA (with a specific anti-codon) for a particular amino acid; and 'wobble' base-pairing, i.e. permitting non-standard base-pairing at the 3rd anti-codon position. Lineage: Bacteria; Bacillati; Actinomycetota; Coriobacteriia; Coriobacteriales; Atopobiaceae. The record is from Rfam.
GGGGUGUUAGCUCAGCUGGUUAGAGCGCCGGCCUGUCACGUCGGAGGUCGAGGGUUCAAGUCCCUUACAUCCCG